GGGUUCUUAGCUCAGUUUGGUUAGAGCGUCUGCUUGACGUGCAGAAGGUCAUAGGUUCGAAUCCUAUAGAACCCACAA
Molecule: transfer RNA, 78 nt
Filed under: Ignavibacteria bacterium
Lineage: Bacteria; Pseudomonadati; Ignavibacteriota; Ignavibacteria
Description: tRNA-Val
Rfam family: tRNA
About the family: Transfer RNA (tRNA) molecules are approximately 80 nucleotides in length. Their secondary structure includes four short double-helical elements and three loops (D, anti-codon, and T loops).
Source: RNAcentral